GACGAACGCUGGCGGCGUGCUUAACACAUGCCAGUCGAACGGAAAGGCCCUGCUUUUGUGGGGUGCUCGAGUGGCGAACGGGUGAGUAACACGUGAGUAACCUGCCCUUGACUUUGGGAUAACUUCAGGAAACUGGGGCUAAUACCGGAUAGGAGCUCCUGCUGCAUGGUGGGGGUUGGAAAGUUUCGGCGGUUGGGGAUGGACUCGCGGCUUAUCAGCUUGUUGGUGGGGUAGUGGCUUACCAAGGCGUUGACGGGUAGCCGGCCUGAGAGGGUGACCGGCCACAUUGGGACUGAGAUACGGCCCAGACUCCUACGGGAGGCAGCAGUGGGGAAUAUUGCACAAUGGGCGGAAGCCUGAUGCAGCAACGCCGCGUGCGGGAUGACGGCCUUCGGGUUGUAAACCGCUUUCGCCUGUGACGAAGCGUGAGUGACGGUAAUGGGUGAAGAAGCACCGGCUAACUACGUG
Molecule: ribosomal RNA, 468 nt
Filed under: uncultured bacterium
Lineage: Bacteria
Description: partial 16S ribosomal RNA
Rfam family: Bacterial small subunit ribosomal RNA
Source: RNAcentral